CUGUCACCACUUCCGUCCUGAGUGUGCAGGUGUCCUGAGCAUUUGGGGAGAAGAUGCAUAGGUGGGUGGCAGUGUUAGGAGUUAGGCAGGAGCAUGCAGGAGGGCUCUUAUUAGGGAGAAGCAAAAACCAAUUGCUUCUGUUCUUAAUGGGGCUAGGGGGGUUCUCACUGGUUACGACAGAAAUAAACCAGCUUAAAAUCUCUCCCUCACCCGCAGACAGCGAGCAUCGGAGUGACUUACCCUCACAUUGGGCAAGAACCCGGCAGCUGUACCUAAAUGACAGAGCAAAAGCAUCUUUCACGCAUCUGCAGUCAUAGCCGCAGGCUGCUGGGUCAGAGGGUUUACAGCACCCCAGGGGACUCUUCUCAUAAUGAAACUGCUUCAAGGAAGAAUUCACUCAGUUUCGCCCACAACCUAAACAUGACUCGGAUGCUUAGGGGCUCCUCGAAUGUCUGACCUGCAUGCCUCUCCUUCUUCCACUUGCCGUGCUGUGUGCUGUGCCUGCCCAGCUGAAUGGCAAAACGUCAUUGCUCUCCACAGUUCCAAUGCACUGGAGCAUGAUGGAGUAUCUGGUCCCACAAAGGUGGAGCUCUGUGGACACCGUGCACACUUGAAGUUUAUUUGGAUGCUUAAAUAACACAGACAUGGAGAGAAAAAGGAGUGUAUGAUGAGCAACCUUCAAGAAAGGCGGGGAAUGGACAGAAGGAAGAGGCAGCAGUUUCAAGCAUCCUAUAGCUCAAGCAUGCUGAUGUCAUGAUCCUAUAUAGGUUCAUAGGUGUGGAAACUGAGUCAGAGGGUCACCCUAUGAAUUGUUCAAACUGGCAUGGUUAAAAACAAACAAUGCGAA
Molecule: long non-coding RNA, 847 nt
Organism: Mus musculus (house mouse)
Lineage: Eukaryota; Metazoa; Chordata; Mammalia; Rodentia; Muridae
Product: predicted gene, 29796
Exons: 3
Source: RefSeq, a predicted model, not a curated record